RNAcentral lists this unclassified non-coding RNA (416 nucleotides) under Hevea brasiliensis (rubber tree). Lineage: Eukaryota; Viridiplantae; Streptophyta; Magnoliopsida; Malpighiales; Euphorbiaceae. The record is from RNAcentral.
UUCAUCAAGAAAAGCACAGCGGUCGCGGCAGAGCAACACCGCCGGAAGAUCGUCAACCUUGGAAGUGGCACAGCCCAUGUGUGAAGAUUGAUUUAAACAAGUAAAAAUUAUAUUAUUAGGGAAGUUGGGAUUUGGUUUUGUUAUAUUUAAUUACUGGAGUAGGUGGGAGGCGCAGAGAUGUAUACGAUGAAGAAGAAAAAGAAGAAAAGAGACGACAUGAUGGAGAAGCAGGGAUUGCGAUGGAGAUAGGAUAGAGAUUGAGAAGGUCCGUUUGUUUCCGGGAAAAUUUCUGUUAAGGUUAGCAGAUGCGGGGAGAGAUAAGGGAAAGGAAAAGGGUUGAGGAAUCUUGCCAGCGUGGAGUGUGUCGUCGUUUGUUGCAGAAAGAGAAAAUGGUAGAGAGAGAGUGUGUGUUGUGG